Molecule: ribosomal RNA, 912 nt
Filed under: uncultured bacterium
Lineage: Bacteria
Description: bacterial SSU rRNA
Rfam family: Bacterial small subunit ribosomal RNA
Source: RNAcentral
AGAGUUUGAUCCUGGCUCAGAACGAACGCUGGCGGCGUGCUUAACACAUGCAAGUCGAACGGAAUUAGGGGCUUGCUCCUAAUUUAGUGGCGCACGGGUGAGUAACGCGUGGAUAACCUACCCUGGUAUCUGGGAUAACAUCUCGAAAGGGGUGCUAAUACCGGAUAAGCCCACGGUCUCUUCGGGGAUUGCGGGAAAAGAUGGCCUCUAUUUAUAAGCUAUCGUAUCAGGAUGGGUCCGCGUACCAUUAGCUAGUUGGUGGUGUAAUGGACCACCAAGGCGACGAUGGUUAGCUGGUCUGAGAGGAUGAUCAGCCACACUGGAACUGAGACACGGUCCAGACUCCUACGGGAGGCAGCAGUGGGGAAUUUUGCGCAAUGGGGGAAACCCUGACGCAGCAACGCCGCGUGAGUGAUGAAGGCCUUCGGGUCGUAAAGCUCUGUCAGAGGGGAAGAAGUGAUAGUGUGUUAAUACCACAUUAUCUUGACGGUACCCUCAAAGGAAGCACCGGCUAACUCCGUGCCAGCAGCCGCGGUAAUACGGAGGGUGCAAGCGUUGUUCGGAUUUAUUGGGCGUAAAGCGCGUGUAGGCGGUCUUUUAAGUCUGAUGUGAAAGCCCCGGGCUCAACCCGGGAAGUGCAUUGGAAACUGGGAGACUUGAAUACGGGAGAGGGUAGUGGAAUUCCUAGUGUAGGAGUGAAAUCCGUAGAUAUUAGGAGGAACACCGGUGGCGAAGGCGGCUACCUGGACCGAUAUUGACGCUGAGACGCGAAAGCGUGGGGAGCAAACAGGAUUAGAUACCCUGGUAGUCCACGCUGUAAACGAUGAGUACUAGGUGUUGCGGGUAUUGACCCCUGCAGUGCCGCAGCUAACGCAUUAAGUACUCCGCCUGGGAAGUACGGUCGCAAGACUA